UCUACAUUAACCAACUGUAGUAAAUGUCAAUCCUGACCCAAUCUCACUGGGACUGUAAACAUACCCGUCCCUGGGACUGUGAACACACCCGCCCCGUCUGUCUAAGCCAACGCUACCUCCACGACUAAGCAGUCCAUGGAUAGCAAGUAUAAUCAGCGACAUCAACGCAAAAGAACUAAGCCUGACUCCGGAGUGGCACUCGUGGGCGCAACCCAACCGAGUAUGCAAGCGUGUCUCUGUCGAGCUCAAUCAGGCUCUCACAAGCUAAAAUCAAGUAACAGGGUCCAACUAGUCUAACAACCAACAAGUCACGUGCUCUCAGCACAAUCUGACGCAAGAACGGCGAUCCGGGUCCACCGUCAAUCCCGACGGCACGCAAUAGUCCGGAAUAGUCUGACAGCUACUGUAAAAUAGACUCGGCAUCUCAGCACGAGCGUAACAGGUAUCUAAACUACCUUGGCAUCCGCCGCGCUGAAACUGCGACGAUACAGACCAACAACGGCUCCUUGAGCUAAAUCAGAUAGUUUAAGCAUGUGACAAGUUCAAAUCGCAGGUUUUCUCCUAAGUCAUAUCCAAGUCCAACAUGUGCUAAUAUCUAAACAUCGGGUAAGCUCCAAUUCAAGUUUUUAAUUGUAACUAUGCCAAAGUCAAGAAUCGAGCAAUUUCUAUAUACAAUGCAAUACUACAACACAUGUCGACUCUACAAAUGCUUAGGAGAUAAACCGACGAUUAACCCACCUCGAAAGCUACUCCCAAUCCGGCGCGACGUCGAAGACGGCAGACUCGCACCCUCGCCCGGCCUCCCCACGCAGCGAGUAAGAUGCUCGCGUGCUCGAACGGCUACGCGGCGCAACGUCGACGUCCAUCCGAGCUCCAACGGCACUCCACUCGAGCUCCACCUCAACGGACCAAGCUAAAGAGAUGAACGAGAUAAUUAAUUCUCUCUAAAGUCUCAGAUAGAUAUAUAUAUUGGUUGAGUAGGUAGGUGGAUAGUGUAAGGACUGAGAUUUUGGUAGUAUAGCUAAACUCUCAGUUGAUGAUAUUUUUGUGUGUAAUUUAAUUACAAAAGCACUCGUCAAGUUUCGGGAGAAAUCGAGCUAAAACGGAGAUUUUACGCGAUUUCCAAGUUUCACUUAAAGUGAAUAGUAACUUGGUUUUUCCGGAGAGCUCAAUGCGUAGGGUUGGCUUCUGGCGCGUAUCGGACACCGUUCAUAGCAGUCCAAUAGCUCGUUUCGAACGGUUUGGUUAUUCUGGAAUCGAUGGCGCUGACGGAUUUUGGGUUUGAUGCACGGAUUUCAAGAAAAUAGAAAAAUACAUGUUUUAUAUGUAUUUGUGAGUAGUUUCUUCUGUUGGAGAGAGAAAGCGGAUUUCGUCGCGAAUCCGUGAUUGAUCAAGGUGAACCGAAAUCGUGGCUUUGUUGUCUCCGUCGUGCUGAUCGCACCAGUGCGAUCCGUUCGCAAAUCUGACCGACGGAUCUGCGGAGAUCGCGUGUUGAUCAAGGAAAGGUCGGUGAGGGCAAAAUGGUAUUUUUACAAAAGUUGCGA
RNAcentral lists this long non-coding RNA (1544 nucleotides) under Ananas comosus (pineapple). RNAcentral's name for it is "long non-coding RNA (ACOM_LNC025638)". The record is from RNAcentral. Lineage: Eukaryota; Viridiplantae; Streptophyta; Magnoliopsida; Poales; Bromeliaceae.